AGGACGAACGCUGGCGGCGUGCUUAACACAUGCAAGUCGUGGGCACCAGCAAUGGUGACCGGCGAACGGGUGCGUAACACGUAAGCGACCUACCGAUUUGAGGGGAUAGCCGGCCCAACGGCCGGGUAAUACCGCAUACGCCAGGCGAGCUUCAUGGCUUGCUUGGGAAACCUCAGGGGCAAAUCGAGGGGCUUGCGGCCUAUCAGCUAGUUGGCGGGGUAAUGGCCCACCAAGGCUACGACGGGUAGCUGGU
RNAcentral lists this ribosomal RNA (253 nucleotides) under uncultured bacterium. RNAcentral's name for it is "partial small subunit ribosomal RNA". It matches the Rfam family "Bacterial small subunit ribosomal RNA", at positions 26 to 291 of the family's 1533-position model. The record is from RNAcentral.